GCGCUCUCGCCUCGCUUUCCGCGGGAGCCUUCCAACCGGUCCUGGGGAGAAGGACGGGAGCUGUGGGAAGAGCGAGGGUGUAGAGAGGGAAGUUAGGGCUUCCGCUUUCUCCCCCAACUCCAGCGGCGGCGUUCAGUCCUCUGGGUGGAAUGUGCUCUCAGCGGCAGUGACGGCGGCCACAGCACUGGAGGCACCCGAGCCAUACACCCUGCAGCUGGAGAGGAAAGGAUGGCCGAGGUGGGAGAGACUAGAGUGAACCAGCAGGAGGAAGUCCUAGGGCCGCGAAGCUACGGCGGAGAUCUGUCCUGGAAAAGCCUUCUCCACCCUGGGCACUUUAAGCGGCGGUGGCGGCAAACAGCAGGAGGUUGCAGACCCGACAGCGAGCCUGCCUCAUUCCAGUCUUGCUCUGCCCUCCGGAGAUGACAAGUGAGAAAGAAGUGUCCGGCCGGGCCAUCCCCUUCAGACAGAAAAUCAAAGCUAUUUAAAGUAAAGGAUUUGUUUCAAAUCAAGGGAAUGUAACAUCUCAAGUUAAAGAGGGACUGCCUGGGACAGCCCUGGGAUUGUUCCUCUCUCCUGGGAAGGAAGAUCACCUCCAAAGCUUAUCCAUUGAGUCACACUACCCCUGUGGUGGCAGGCUGCCUCUCCAGGUUCCUCAGCUGUGGUGCAACAGAAGCAAGCACAAUCAAGACUCCAUCUGUUCAAGGCAGCUUUCUCAAACCUUGGGGAACCUACUCACAAUGGAUCACAGGCUUCUUUUGUUUCUUGCUGCUUAUCUUGGGAAGCAAAAAUCAGCUGAGUGAAGAUGAGGAAGAAGGUGUUAAAGGUUUGAAGAGAAAAAAUGAAAAGGAUAUACUAAUCCAAGGGGAUGCUUCUCACUAUAUUGCACAGGCUGAUCUGAAACUCCAGGGCUCAACCAACCCUCCUGCCUCAGUCUCCAGAGUAACUGGGAUUACAGAGAGAAGACAAGAAACUUCUAGAAGGACUAUGAAACCUUGAAGAGGAAACUGAAGGAUUUAUAGCCUUGUAGGACUGUGAGAUGUUUUUCACUGCCUGAUCUCAAGGCAACCCAAAAGCCAGAUGUGAACACUGAUGUGGGUGGAGAGAUCUCAAGAAGCAGCCCACUACUUCCCGCUCAAGAAGCAGGAGAGUCUACUGGCAGCAACAGUCAUGGCAGCAGGAGCCUACAGCACCCAAAACAGAAGACUUGUACAAAAUAUAGAAAAAAGAAUACUGUACCCUAAGAUAUUUCUGGCAUAAAUUUCUUCUCUGAGCAGAGGAGCUGUGGCCCCAAGAGGGUAGCAAGAAUCCCCACUAAUUUUUUCUCUCUCUAGCCUCUUGAGGCUUGACUGUGGAGUUGGAAAUGUGGCAGAGCAGGGUAAAUAAAGCCCCAGCUUUCCAACCACAAAAAGGGAAUGCAGGGAACUAUCAAUUUCUGGGGAGACAGUGGAGAAGAAGGAGCUCAAAAAGCAACUUUGAUAACCAAAUUCAAAGAAAUUCUUCAUGACCCAAGAUUAUGCAAAGUUGUCUUAGGUAUGACACCAUACAGAUAAUCUAUUUAAAAAUUGAUGAACAUUAUCUUUUUUAAAAAAUUGUUCUAUGAAAGACAUUGAAAUAUAAUGAUGAAAUAAUGUAUAGAUUGGUGAAAGUCUAUUUAAAAUAUAUAUCUGACAAAGAAUUUGUAUCCAGAACAUAUAAAGAACUGUUAUAACUCAAUAAUAAAAUAACUCAAUUAAAAAUGGGCAAAAGACUUGAACUUCAUCACAAUGGACAUAUGUAAAUCAACUAAGUGCAUCAAAUAUGUUCAACAUCGUUAGCCACUGGGGUAAUGGAAAUUAAAACCAUGACAAGAGACCAGUACAUACCUAUGAUAAUGA
Molecule: long non-coding RNA, 1874 nt
Organism: Macaca mulatta (Rhesus monkey)
Lineage: Eukaryota; Metazoa; Chordata; Mammalia; Primates; Cercopithecidae
Source: Ensembl